Molecule: ribosomal RNA, 1145 nt
Filed under: uncultured methanogenic archaeon
Lineage: Archaea; Methanobacteriati; Methanobacteriota
Description: bacterial SSU rRNA
Rfam family: Archaeal small subunit ribosomal RNA
Source: RNAcentral
GGGAUAACCCCGGGAAACUGAGAAUAAUACUCCAUAGAUCUAGAAUGCUGGAAUGCUUUUAGGUCGAAAACUCCGGUGCCUUAGGAUUGGUCUGCGGCGUAUCAGGUUGUAGUGGGUGUAACGGACCCACUAGCCGAUGACGCGUAUGGGCCUUGAGAGAGGAAGCCCAGAGAUGGACUCUGAGACAUGAGUCCAGACCCUACGGGGCGCAGCAGUCGCGAAAACUUCACAAUGGGGGCAACCCCGAUGAGGGAAUUCCAAGUGCUAGCACUUUUUGUGUUAGCUGUUCUUUUGUCUAAAAAACAAGAGAGGUAAGGGCCGGGUAAGACGGGUGCCAGCCGCCGCGGUAAUACCCGCGGCCCGAGUGGUGGUCGAUAUUAUUGAGCCUAAAACGUUCGUAGCCGGUCUUGUAAAUCCUUGGGUAAAUCGGCCAGCUUAACUGUUCGAAGUCCGGGGAGACUGCAAGACUUGGGAUCGGGAGAGGUCAGAGGUACUUCUGGGGUAGGGGUAAAAUCCUGUAAUCCUAGAAGGACCACCGGUGGCGAAGGCGUCUGACUAGAACGAAUUCGACGGUGAGGAACGAAGCCCUGGGGCGCAAACGGGAUUAGAUACCCCGGUAGUCCAGGGUGUAAACGCUGCGGGCUUGGUGUUGGGGGUCCUUAGUGGGCGCCCAGUGCCGGAGAGAAGUUGUUAAGCCUGCUGCUUGGGGAGUACGUCCGCAAGGAUGAAACUUAAAGGAAUUGGCGGGGGAGCACCGCAACGGGAGGAGCGUGCGGUUCAAUUGGAUUCAACGCCGGACAACUCACCAGGAGCGACGAUUACAUGAAGGCCAGGCUGAUGACCUUGCCUGAUUUUUCGAGAGGUGGUGCAUGGCCGUCGUCAGUUCGUACUGUAAAGCGUUCUCUUAAGUGAGAUAACGAACGAGACCCUCACUAAUAAUUGCUAGCGUUUUCUCUGGAAGGCGCGCACAUUAUUGGGACCGCUGUCGCUAAGACAGAGGAAGGAGAGGUCAACGGUAGGUCCGUAUGCCCCGAAUCUCCUGGGCUACACGCGCGCUACAAAGGACGGGACAAUGGGUUCCGAUAUCGAAAGGUAAAGGCAAUCCCGAAACCCGUUCGUAGUUCGGAUCGAGGGCUGUAACUCGC